CAAUGGCAAAUAUUUAAUCACUCUUAGAUUGUGUAAAGUGUCACAAGAUCAACUUGAUAAUUCAAUUGGCAGCGGCAAACAAAAAAACCUAAUUAUUUGAAAAAAUGGUAAAUGAGAAAAACAAGAAACAGAACAAUCAAUUAGCAAAAUGUUAGUCAUUGCUAAACUUAGCCUUUUCACACUAUGAAUCAAUCUCUUUGUCUUUUUUGUCGGUUGUGUCGCUUUUUUAGCCGUUACUUUCAACAUUUUUAAUUUUAAACAUCUCUAUUUGUUCCAGAUUGAUCAACAAUCAAUUGAAAAAGGUUUAAUUGACAUUGUUUAAUAAAAUUUGUUUAUUGUUCUACCGUUUCUUUUUCAGCUAACCUUGACCUGUUGCUUUGUUUUUUUUUCAAUUUCCCUCUUUUUUAUAUCAAAUCGUCUUCCUUCUCUUUCUCUCAAACUCUGUGUAACCAACCAUGUUAACGGCUUUUUUAAAUGUGUUGUUCAAUUUUCGUCAAUUCAGUUUUUCCAUGUUAAUCCUUUAUUUUAAACAUGCGAUUCUUUAACCCUUCUAUUGGUGGUUAUUACCCAGCAACAAUCUCAACCAACAAUCCCAACUCUAAAAGUAAAAACAAUCCUGUAAACUGGUUGCUCAACUUUAGUUAUUUAUGGUAUUACCUUUCAGUAUUUAAUUGACUGUAAUAAAAGCAAGAAUUGGAUCAUAGCUGCUCAUAUGGACUUAUUCAGGAUAAGGAAUGUUAGUUAACUUACAACGGUUAUUAGAUCACCAUUUAAAAUUACCAUUGAUUGGAUCAUUUCUUCAAUUUACCAUUACAAAACAUAUCAAUUUGUUAAAGUCUUAAAUUCAAAUUCAAAUGGUUAAAGGGUGUGUUCCUCAUAAUCAUCAUUAUCGCCACCACCAUCGUCAUUUUCACCAAUUUCAACGUCAAGUAGACAGAUAUUUUCCUGAUUUUUUACCAUAAUCUUGAUAAAACAUCUCCAUCUUUUUGUCAAAAUCAAAUCAAUCAUGGCUGAACAGACAACAAUGAGAAUCAUCGAUGACCCUCAACUAGUGAUGAUAAGAAGCCAUCAAGACUUUGACUGUCCUCAUAUUCUGCCAGUUAGUGAAUCAGUAGCUAAGGAAGCUAACGAGCGACAGACAAUCAGGUGGUAUCCUUUGGAACCGGAUGAAAUCGCCAGAGUAAAUCCUAGAUGGACAAAGCUGAAAUUAUUUUUCUUGAACACAGAAAAUCAAUGCAGAUUUAAGAUAGAAGUUAUAAUCAUAAUUAUAAUACAAGUUGAUGUUGGAUGAAAAACAAAGCAAAAAAGACGUUGCUGUCCAUUGAUUGUUAAGCUCUUUAAUUACGGAUCCAGUCAAGAGUAAACUAGUGUCCAUUAUUGGUGGUCAGAGCUACGACAAAAGUGAAAUUAAUCGUAUAAAGCAACAAGAGCAUGGCAAUGCUGUUAAAAGAGGACAUAUCAGACAAUUAAAUAAUUGACCAACUGAACAAGAAAACGAUAUUACCCAAUUUAAGAAUUGAGUUGACAAUGAUUAAGAUGAAGAUAAAUAUUUCCCAUUUUGGUAAUAACACAAUAAUAGUAAUGGCAAUAAUAAUAAUAAUAACCAUCAAUAAUAAUACUUAUAAUAAUUAUAAUAGUGAUAAUAGUAAUAAGGACAGUUAUAUUCAAAUUGUAUUCUUUACUGAAAACAUAGUAUUACUGAACAACAUGUUUUAAUCAUCUAUUCAUGAAAGUAUAUUUCAAGCUCUUAUCCGAUUAUUAUGAGUACAAUAUUCUGCAUACUCCUCCCAGGAACAUCCAUUGGCUCCAUGGCAGCAUUCAUCGAUGAUUCCUCUUUUCCGACGCACUGAAGUUGCCGUUUGACCUAACAGAUUGAGUGCUCUCUCUUUACUUAUGAAUGCAUCAUAAUGACGACCCUCGACUGAAAAAAAGAGAUAAGAAAAGGAUUAUUAAUGAAUCCGUUAGAUUCAAAUAAUGGUCAACACAUGGAAGGAUAUUUUACACUUUGCUAAGAUAACUUACACAACCAAAGGUCAUUGGAGUAACAUGAAAAUUGAAAGGAUCAUUUAAUUAUUGGAAACCAUACAGGAAAACAUUAAUCUUAUACACUAUUGAUUCAAAUCAUAUUCAUUGAGGAAAAAUCUUGGCCAGCCUUUCAUCAAUUGAUGACCAUUUUAUCCCCUCAUCUGACCAAUUCAUCUUUUUGCUCAAUAACUCUUCUAUUUUGGCGGAAAAAUUGUCACUAUCAUUAAAUUAUCAUGACGACAGGGAAACAUAACAACUUUAUGGUCAUUUUGGAUAUUUGCGUGAUCAUCAUGGACCAUCUAUCGUUAUAAAGCUAAUCAACAAAGACAUUAGCUGAAAUAAAAUUGGAAUCAACAAAUUGUAACAAUUGCUGCUUCAUAUCUGAGGAUUAUCACGUUAUAUUUGAAAAGCCUUACCUUAACCGAGGGAAAAUUAAGUUAAAUGAUUUUAGGUUGAAUGUCUAUUAUUAGUGUAGCAAUAUAUUGAAAAGACUUUUGCCAUUUUUCCACUUUACUUAAUUGUGUUGACAUUUCUGUUUGAAGCUGUUUCCGGAGACAAACUCUUUGAGUUUGUCUAUGCUAUUGAGGAAGUUGUGUAAAGAAUCAACAUGAAUAGUUAAUGCAACUAAUUUGAAGCUGUUGAUAAAAAUCGAACCAAAAAAUAGGCUAAAAAAGCUGUAUAUCUAACUAGAUAACUUGAAAAGCGGAAAUGAUGUAGGUCACCUUGUUACAACUUUGUGUACAUUGACGAAUGUGCGUAAAAAAUCAACAUCAACAAUAAAAGUAUCACUUUUUAUCUUCUUUAAA
This is a non-coding RNA of Tetranychus urticae (two-spotted spider mite), 2831 nucleotides long. The record is from RefSeq and is a predicted model, not a curated record. Lineage: Eukaryota; Metazoa; Arthropoda; Arachnida; Trombidiformes; Tetranychidae.